RNAcentral lists this ribosomal RNA (253 nucleotides) under uncultured bacterium. RNAcentral's name for it is "partial 16S ribosomal RNA". It matches the Rfam family "Bacterial small subunit ribosomal RNA", at positions 524 to 776 of the family's 1533-position model. The record is from RNAcentral.
UACGAAGGGUGCAAGCGUUACUCGGAAUUACUGGGCGUAAAGCGUGCGUAGGUGGUGAGUUAAGUCUGUCGUGAAAGCCCCGGGCUCAACCUGGGAAUGGCGAUGGAUACUGGCUCGCUAGAGUGCGGUAGAGGAGAGUGGAAUUCCCGGUGUAGCAGUGAAAUGCGUAGAGAUCGGGAGGAACAUCAGUUGCGAAGGCGGCUCUCUGGACCAGCACUGACACUGAGGCACGAAAGCGUGGGGAGCAAUCAGG